AUAUUACAUACUAUUCCAA
This 19-nucleotide microRNA is filed under the name Tribolium castaneum (red flour beetle). RNAcentral's name for it is "tca-miR-3903-3p". The record is from miRBase by way of RNAcentral. Lineage: Eukaryota; Metazoa; Arthropoda; Insecta; Coleoptera; Tenebrionidae.